RNAcentral lists this ribosomal RNA (899 nucleotides) under uncultured bacterium. RNAcentral's name for it is "bacterial SSU rRNA". It matches the Rfam family "Bacterial small subunit ribosomal RNA", at positions 8 to 897 of the family's 1533-position model. The record is from RNAcentral.
AGAGUUUGAUCCUGGCUCAGGAUGAACGCUAGCUACAGGCUUAACACAUGCAAGUCGAGGGGAAACGACAUUGGAAGCUUGCUUCCGAUGGGCGUCGACCGGCGCACGGGUGAGUAACGCGUAUCCAACCUGCCCACCACUUGGGAAUAACCUUGCGAAAGUAAGACUAAUGCCCAAUGACGUUGAAAGAAGACAUCUGAUUUCAACUAAAGAUUCAUCGGUGAUGGAUGGGGAUGCGUCCGAUUAGCUUGUUGGCGGGGUAACGGCCCACCAAGGCAACGAUCGGUAGGGGUUCUGAGAGGAAGGUCCCCCACAUUGGAACUGAGACACGGUCCAAACUCCUACGGGAGGCAGCAGUGAGGAAUAUUGGUCAAUGGGCGAGAGCCUGAACCAGCCAAGUAGCGUGCAGGAUGACGGCCCUAUGGGUUGUAAACUGCUUUUAUAAGGGAAUAAAGUGGGGCUCGUGAGCUCCUUUGCAUGUACCUUAUGAAUAAGGACCGGCUAAUUCCGUGCCAGCAGCCGCGGUAAUACGGAAGGUCCGGGCGUUAUCCGGAUUUAUUGGGUUUAAAGGGAGCGUAGGCCGCAGGUUAAGCGUGUUGUGAAAUGUAGGGGCUCAACCUCUGCACUGCAGCGCGAACUGGCUUGCUUGAGUACGCACAACGUGGGCGGAAUUCGUGGUGUAGCGGUGAAAUGCUUAGAUAUCACGAAGAACUCCGAUUGCGAAGGCAGCUCACGGGAGCGCAACUGACGCUGAAGCUCGAAAGUGCGGGUAUCGAACAGGAUUAGAUACCCUGGUAGUCCGCACGGUAAACGAUGGAUGCCCGCUGUUGGUCUGAAUAGGUCAGCGGCCAAGCGAAAGCAUUAAGCAUCCCACCUGGGGAGUACGCCGGCAACGGUGA